RNAcentral lists this ribosomal RNA (508 nucleotides) under Anguilla japonica (Japanese eel). RNAcentral's name for it is "partial 16S ribosomal RNA". It matches the Rfam family "Bacterial large subunit ribosomal RNA", at positions 1816 to 2508 of the family's 2925-position model. The record is from RNAcentral. Lineage: Eukaryota; Metazoa; Chordata; Actinopteri; Anguilliformes; Anguillidae.
CGCCUCUUGCUAACAAAGGAAGUACUAGAGGUCCCGCCUGCCCUGUGACCACAAAGUUUAACGGCCGCGGUAUCCUGACCGUGCGAAGGUAGCGUAAUCAUUUGUCUUUUAAAUAGAGACCUGUAUGAAUGGCAUAACGAGGGUUUAACUGUCUCCUUCCCCUAGUCAAUGAAAUUGAUCUGCCCGUGCAGAAGCGGACAUAAAUACAUAAGACGAGAAGACCCUAUGGAGCUUUAGACAAAAGAUCAAACAUGUAAAGAAACCAAGUUAACCAAAAGGAACACAAAGGCCACGAAACCCGACGUAAACUGAUCCAAAUGUCUUCGGUUGGGGCGACCAUGGGGGAGAAAAAAGCCCCCACGAGGAACAGGGACUAAUCCCUAAGCCAAGAGAGACAUCUCUAAGCAACAGAAAAUCUGACCAAAAGUGACCCAGAAUACUAAUUUUGAUCAACGAACCAAGUUACCCUAGGGAUAACAGCGCAAUCCUUUCCCAGAGUCCAUAUCGA